AUGAAAGUGGGUGGUAAACCCAGCUGCAAAGUAAACCGAGCGCGCGGGAACGGCGGCCUGAAUCUGAAGGGCGACGGUCCCUCCCCGGUCGGCGAUGUCAUCGGCAUUCAGUCCCGCCAAGCUGAUGUGAUUUGGUCAACCACUCUGUCCGUGACGAGUGACGGCAGCAGAACUCUGGUGCUGUUUUCCAAGUGCCGGUCAAACCCACGACACGAGCGCUCCUUUACGCAACGGGAAGCAGAGCUGCUCUGCUUUUCGAUCUACGUUGGUUUGGUGCAACGAUUCCAAACAAGCGCGUGUGAGUUUUGGACAAUCUCGUUUACUACCAACAUCGACAUCGAAAAGCAUGGGGCCUUCACGAGCUGUCUCCUGCUGCCUGGUCCUCCUCUUCCUCGUCUCCUCGUCCAGCGCCUCCGUUCUACUAAAGACGCGUGCAAAUCCAUCGCCGCCGACAAGGAAAAAAGCAUCGGCUACAACUACUGCAUCAAGUUUUUCGAGGCGAGCAAGGGCAGCGGCACCGCCGACAAGCGUGGCUUGGCCGUCAUCGCGUCGAAGCUCAACAGAGCGGCAGCCAAGAGCAUGGUCAAGCGCAUCCACGCCCUCAGGGCCUCGGAGAAGGACAAGCUCGAUGCUGCGGCUAAAGGCGUCGAGGCGGGUACACCGGAAGGCAAAUUUGGCGCGGAGACGAACCUCACCGGCGCGUUCGACGCCCCCGACACCUGCGAGACCGGGUUCAGCGAGAGGGGCCUGAAGUCGCCGCUCGUCGCCGAGGACGCCGAGUUCACUAAGGAGGUGUACAUCGCGAUGGCUCACGGCAAUUUACAUUUCCGCCGCUGUGGCAGUUAUCAUUGUGCAAAAUUUUUCAGAAUGGCUCGUGGCGAUCAUCAAAAUGAUGAUGAUGAUUUCAUGGAUCCACCACAGCGUAAUCGUGCAACUGCACGGAGAAAAGAGGGUGAUGAGAAGAAGAAACGUAUUCGCAACAGAGCCUCCCAAGAACGACUGACUACGUUGACUGACAAAUUCACCGACGAUCAGAAGGGAGCUGCUGCUGAGAUGGGUAUGCAGGCUAUGAUGGAUGUCCGGUGCACGAACCUUGUCAACCCCGUAUGCGACUGGCUUGGUGAGAUCUAUGACCCCGCCUCUAGGGAAUUCGUGAUUCCGGGACGUGGAAGACUACCGUUGAACGAGGAUUCUGUGUUAUGCACUUUGGGUGUGCCUCGUGGACAUAUCAAAGUCCCAUACGAGCUCAAUAAUGAGAUCGAGCAAGAGCUGGUCCCCCGUUUGUUUCCUGGGUUGGAAUCCAUGCCGAACACGUCUGCAGUGGCAGAUUCGCUGCAGGCCAUGACGACACAUGGAGAUGUUUUCAAGAUGAAGCUACUCAUGUACCUCAUCUCAGCUGUUUUCGCGCCGAGCACUUCUCUUCGCCCAAGCAACAAAUGUUUCCCCAUCCUGGCGGAUCUGAAAAAUGUGAAGAACAUGAAUUGGUGUAAGUUUAUCGCCGACUUCCUGCAUGAUGCAUUCUCCAGCAAGAUGUUCCAAAAGGGUUGUCGACUGCAUUUAAUGCUCAUGUACGUCAACUGUCUUGAUCUGUCCACCGUGGAUUUCACUGGGACUGGAGGCCCGCCGCCUGCGCACAAGUUUGCUGUUUCUGCGUGGACUAUCAACGCUGUCAAGGUUGUGCUUGCCGCAGACAAGGCUACUGACACCACAUAUGGAAAACUGCAGCUGAUGGCCAAGCAUGCUAUAGACUACAGCGUGUUUGGGGGGCCUCAAAAGUUUGGAAAGUGGAUGGACGUGCACUCAGCUCCGUCUUGCCCUGCCGAGGCUAGGGCACCUGUUGAGCAUCUAAUAGGGCAGUUUGCAUCCGGAAUGACCGGCUUGCUCGGUAAGUUGGUUGAGGGGUGGACGUCCCUCAGUGGCUCUGACAGCGACGCGGUUGCGAGGCAGUUCACUUCAUUUGUCCUAGAACGUACACAUCGGCCAACCAGUUGCCAUGGCCGGUAUGACUACAACAGUUCCCAAGAGCCUGCUGACACACAAGAUGAACUAGGUGGAGAUGCUGGUCUCAGCAAGGAUGACGACGAUGACAUGGAGAAUGAUGCUGCUGUGAGCCAUGCCACCCCAUCAGCAAGCAUUGAAGUGGACGCCCCCGAGACGAACCUAAGCAAGGAAGAUUCCCGCUCAUCUGACACUGAUUCCAAGCGCGUGCGUGUUGGCCCUCCUGUGUCCACGACAGAAGCGGCUGAGGCGGCAGUUCACAAUGAUAUGCCAUCUACAGGUGAGAGUCCUGGCACAACAACUCCAGCUCCUGUCGGUGAAGAUACUGCUAAGGUGACUGUUUCACGUGCUGGUCUUCCACCUAGGCGUCGUAGCCCCCGCAAGCAACCAACAGACAUACCCAACGCACCGGCUGUAGCUAGGAGCAGGAGAGACGAGUCUGGUUAUGUUCCUACGUCCACACUGUUCCCGCCACUUGCCAGAAGCAAUGUGAUGGAGAAACCGGAAGUCCGGAGCAUAGCUGAUGCAGGUGUCAAGCCGGGCACGAGUGACGCAGGUGAACACCCGGAGCAGACUGCGCCUUUACCCGCAGUGGAAAUCCCUAGCUUAAAUCUACGCACUUCCAGGCUCCCAGUCAAUGUGGGUGUCCCCUACAGCCCAAACAAGAAGAUUGUUAUGAAAGAUGCGGCUGAUACAUCUGACAACACGCCCCGCCCUGCAAAUAAGCCUGAUCAUUCUGUAGCGGCCGAUUCAGAUAUGUUUGUCGAUCUUUCACCCUUGGAUUCUGCCCCGCAAGUCGUUCGUGGUCUGGCCAGUAGGCAUGAGAGGAACCCAAUGGCCUUCACCCCACCGAGCUUCAGCCUUGGCAUCAGUCAAGAUCAACCGGUGGUGCAAGAUCCUAUGCCAGUUGCCUUUGCUUUCCCGGGAGGCAUGCCCGCAAUGAUGGCGCAGCCAAUGGUCGAGGGCAGGAAGGUUGUCAAUUUCGCAGAGCCGGUAGUGCAAGAUACGGUAUCUGAGGAUACCAUUAGGAGUGCCACCCCUGGUUCUGUGAGGCAGCAGAGGGUAGUUCACCCACCUCCCGCGGAAGACUACGAGCCUGAAUUCAGAGCCACUAAGGAACAGACCCAGCUGUACGAUAUUGUCAAGCGGUUUGGAAAUGCGAGGGCCAGCAGCAAGCACAUGAAGGAGCUGAAAGCAACCAAAGUCAUUCAAUGCGAAGCGACGUACGUCGACCUGGGCGAUCUUGUCGAGUCUGUGAGGCCAAACGGUAAAAUGUCGACGAAUGUAGUUGCACGCGGGAUCGACUACAUCAACAAUCACACCGAUGUGUGUGCCGGCAAGAUAAUCAUGCAUUACAGUGUGACAUGCAAAAUAUGGGAUGGUGACUUCCACCAUAAAAUCCAGAGGAAGAAUUUUGCUCAACACGGUGAAUUCAAGCUCACACUAAAGAAAUAUGUCAUGUUCCCCAUGUUCCAGGAGCUUGCACCACAUGACCCACACGACAAGUGUGGUCACCACUAUGUGAUCUAUCUUGACCUGAAGAACCAAUGUUUUGAGGUGCUUGAUUCAAUCCGUUCGGAAGCUGAUGCAGACCUUACUACACAUGCCGAAUUCUUCAUCAACAACCUCAAAGAGACAUGGAACCAUCACUACGAACACUCAAAGGUCCAGAUCAGGCAUUUCCUGACUGAGACGAACUGUGGCUUUCACACGUUGGAAUACUUUGCAAAGUGGGAAGGUAGACUUGUCCCUGCUGUCACAGCUGCAACGGUCGUUGAGCUCCGAAAAAUCUACACACGGAACUGGUUGACGAAUGAAGAUUUCAACAAGCGGUCCCGAGCACGCGAGUUCAUGGAGGAAGCUGUCAAGAAAGUCACCAAGAAGUACAAGUGA
Molecule: ribosomal RNA, 3891 nt
Filed under: Triticum aestivum (bread wheat)
Lineage: Eukaryota; Viridiplantae; Streptophyta; Magnoliopsida; Poales; Poaceae
Description: partial small subunit ribosomal RNA
Source: RNAcentral